Molecule: ribosomal RNA, 253 nt
Filed under: uncultured bacterium
Lineage: Bacteria
Description: partial 16S ribosomal RNA
Rfam family: Bacterial small subunit ribosomal RNA
Source: RNAcentral
AACGUAGGACGCAAGCGUUAUCCGGAGUUACUGGGCGUAAAGCGCGGGCAGGCGGUCUUGCCAGUCUGAUGUGAGAUCUCCUCGCUCAACGGGGAGCAGCCAUUGGAAACUACAAGACUGGAGUCUGACAGAGGUAGGCGGAAUUCCGGGUGGAGUGGUGAAAUGCGUAGAGAUCCGGAGGAACACCAGAGGCGAAGGCGGCCUACUGGGUCAGUACUGACGCUGAGCCGCGAAAGCCAGGGGAGCGAACGGG